This is a long non-coding RNA of Etheostoma spectabile (orangethroat darter), 127 nucleotides long. RefSeq lists it as uncharacterized. The transcript is spliced from 3 exons. NCBI's taxonomy places the organism in Eukaryota, Metazoa, Chordata, Actinopteri, Perciformes, Percidae. The record is from RefSeq and is a predicted model, not a curated record.
GUAAGUCGACUUUGAUGACAUCCCAAGAAACGUCAGAACAAAGACCUGUAUGAGCUGCAGUCGCUGAUCGACGCUCCACUUGAGUGCAGGCAGAAGGAGCAGGAGGGAGCAUCAUCGCGCUCAAAGA